AUACGUAGGGUGCAAGCGUUAUCCGGAAUUAUUGGGCGUAAAGAGCUCGUAGGCGGUUUGUCGCGUCUGCUGUGAAAACUGGAGGCUCAACCUCCAGCCUGCAGUGGGUACGGGCAGACUAGAGUGCGGUAGGGGAGAUUGGAAUUCCUGGUGUAGCGGUGGAAUGCGCAGAUAUCAGGAGGAACACCGAUGGCGAAGGCAGAUCUCUGGGCCGUAACUGACGCUGAGGAGCGAAAGCGUGGGGAGC
Molecule: ribosomal RNA, 247 nt
Filed under: uncultured bacterium
Lineage: Bacteria
Description: partial 16S ribosomal RNA
Rfam family: Bacterial small subunit ribosomal RNA
Source: RNAcentral